ACAAAUGAAUUUAAUGAUACAUGUCAAAGCAGACAAAUGCCAUUGUGUGGGAGGAGAGUAGGAUGAGGGGAUGGAACAGGAAUGGGACUUGACUUAGUAAAAAGCUGUUAUCCUUAAAGAUAAAACUGUCAGUUAUUUUUUCGGCAAAAAAUGGGUUAUUGGGGAAUAGCAAAGAAUAACAAUUUAGGACAAGCAAGCUAUGGCAAAACCAUAGGCAAGUCUGGAGAACAAAGGAGAGAGCUGCUCUUUUACAGAGAAAAAGGGGAAGGUGGGAGGAGCUGUUAUAAAAGCAAAGUCCAUCGGAGCAAACUAGGAGUUCAAAGUACAGUGGCUUUUCAUUCCAGGAUGAGUGGUAACUUUAUAAUUAGCCUGUAGGGUGCAGAAAUCUCAUACCCCAAAUAGGUAAAUCCACAGAUAGAAUUCAUAUUGGUGGUAGAAUGGGUUGAAUAGUGUUCUCAUAUAGAUAUGCUGAAGCCCUAAGCCCCAGUGCCUGUGAAUUUAACUUUAUUUGGAGAUUGGGUCUUUGCUGAUGUACUGAACUAGAGUGGGCCCUAAUUCAGUAAUGGGUAUCUUUAUAAAAAGAGAAGAGACACAGAGGGAAGGUAGCCACAUGAAGACAGAGGUAAAGCAAAGAUUGGAAUGAGCCUGCCAUAAACCAAGGAAGCUGGAAGAGGCAAGGAAAGAUUCUCCCCUAGAGCCUUUGGAAGGAUCAUGGCUCUGCCAACACUUUGAUUUCAGACUUCUGGCCUUCAGGACUGUGAGAGGAUAAAUUCCUCAUGUUUUAAGACACCCAAAUUGUGGUCCUCUGUUUAAAGCAGUCACAGGAAAAAAAUACAAGUGGUCACCACUGUCAAGGGGAGGCAGAAAGUAGGAGCAACUGUUUAACAGUUGCAACUGGGUACAGGGUUUCCUUUUCAGGUGAUGGAAAUGUUUUGGAACAUUUCCGGUGAAAUUGUUUAGAACUAAAUAGAGGUUGAAUAACAUUGUGAAUGGAUUAAAUGCCCCUAAAGGAGUGAUAGGUAUUAAGGAGGAUGCUUGUGAUGAGCAAUGGGUGUUGUAUGUAAGUGAUAAAUCACUGAAUUCUAUGUCUGAAUCUAAUACUACAUUAUAUGUUAACUAACUGGAAUUUAAAUUAAAACUUGAAAUAAAAAAUAAAUAAAAUAAAAAUAAUGCAUGCAUACAUACAUCCUGCUGUGGUUUUGAUUGAUAUUGAAUUGAAUCCAUAAAGUAAAAGAGGAGAAUUAACUAUUUGAGACAACAUGGAUAGACCUAAAGGGUGUUACGCUAAGUGAAAUAAGUUAGACUGAGAAACACAUACCAUAGGAUUUCACUCAUAAGUGGAAUCUGAAAAAAAUGAAUAGGGGGCAGCUGAAUGGCUCAGUUGGUUGAGCAUCUGACUCUUGAUUUUGUCUCAGGUCAUGAUCCCAGGGUUGUGGGAUCAAGCCUGGCAUUGGGCUCUGGGCUGAGCUUAAGAUUCUCUCUCUCUCUCUCCCUCUGCCCUUCUUCCUAACUUGUGCACUCGUUCUCUCUUUCCAAAAAAAAAAAAAAAAAGAAUUAAAAAAUAAAGAUGAAUAAACAGAUAAAAAGUAGAAUCAAACCUAUAAAUACAUAAACAAACUGAUGGUUGCCAGAGGGACAGGGGGUAGGAGGUUGAACAAAAUGGGUGAAGGGGAGAGGGAGAUACAGACUUCUAGUUAUAAAAUGAAUGAGUUGCAGGAAUAAAAGGCACAGCAUAAGGAAUAAAUUCAGUGAUAUUGUAAUAGCAAUGUGUGGGGACUUGUGGGGAAUAUAGCAUAAUAUAUAAACUUGUCGAAUCACUAUGUUGUACCUCUGAAACUAAAAAGCAUUGUCUGAUUAUACUCAAAUUUAAAAGAGUAAAAAAAUAAAAUUAGAGGACAUAUUUUUAAAGGAAUACUUGAGGAGAACUGACAGCUAGUGAAGCUUCUGAUCUGUGAAUAUGGUAUAAGUCUUCUUUGUAUGUUGGCUUUAAUUUCUUGUCCAAAUAUUUUAUAUAAUUCCCUUAUGCAUAUAUAAGAAAAUAAAUAGGAAUUCUUAUUUUUGCCCAGAAGAAGUAACAUAACAGACACUCAUUCUCACAAUUGAUGGAGAUCUUUCCAUGUCCAUACACAGAGCAUUCUCAUUGUUUCAUGACAAAUAAUACUGUACCUACAUCCAUAAUGUGUCAUUACAUAUGCAGCCAGCCUCCACAGAUGUACUUUGGGUUUGUUUCCAACUAUACUGAAGCUGUAAUGAAUGAUGUUGGUUAUUUGAGCAGCCAGCUCUAACUCCUCACUCCUCCUUUAACCUGGCAUGUGGGCCACAGCCUUAAUAGGGGUCAGGAACUCAGAAAAUAGUCUGGCUCUGUAAGUGGUUUCUCCUAAUCCAGCCCCCCAUUUUCCAGUUUAUGGGAGUGGGGAGUAAAGCUCCAGGGUAGCCCCUCCAGUCUCUGCCUCACCUUAACUUCAUUUCUUCUGCUCCACUCCAGUUCUCCAUCAGCAUAGGUGACCAUGCAUAUAUGCACACACUCACCAAGAUGUAGAAGAAACCAUUUUAAAGCCUGAGCUCUUGGCUCCUUCCCUCAAGAUAUCAUGCUUGGAUGACUACUAGACAGGAAAGAGCUGACCCAAGAUACAGAGUACAUGGAGACAUGACCUGGUAGGAGUCUCCAGACACCAGACUCAGCUACUAGAAGUGAGUGACAGUGGAGACUGUACCCAAGGAGGAGCUGAGAUAUACCUGCCUAGUGACACACGCAGGCCUGUAGGAACCUCUCUAUAGAGCCCAGGGUGGAAAGUGGAGGAAGAGAAAGAGAAGAAAGAAGAGGGAGGGAUGUGGGAUUGCAGAACAGGGCAGGCAAGAACCUGAGGAGGCCAGGCUCCCUGCCCCUCCCCUCUCCAGAACUUCCAGCCAGAGUACCCUCAUGUCCAGGCUGUUGCUGAUGCUGUACUGCUGUCCUCCAGUUGGAAGUGAUCAGAGCCAUGCUUCUCUGCACGUCUGGACACAUCCUCCUGAUGCUGCAGGUGCUGCACCCCCAGUUCCACUUUCAGGUUACUAUGGGCACACGGUGUAGCAGGAGUGGCAGGAGUCCUCUGACCUUUAAACACCCUUGAAACCAGGUGAUCCUCACUGGCCAAUUACCAACACGAUUGGUUUUCCUAUGUAUAUAUAAAAGGGACCGUCGAGGAGCUGUGGGGGACAACGCGGAGGAGUGGGGGAAGCUGUGACAAUGGCCGUGGGAGCCGCAGCCCGAGGCUGAAGGGGCCGGGCUGGAACUCCAGCUGAGCGAGGCGGGCUGAGGUCGCUGGUGCGCUGCCUUCCCAAAGCUGAGCUCUCUCGCUCUCCCCGGUUGGCGCCAGACCACCGACCCCACAGCUGAAGACCGACUCCGGGGAAAUCGACGCCCUAGGGACGCGCGCAAGGCUGGCGGACACCUGCUGGCGGGUCUUCGGGAGCGCGCACGUCUGGACGCCGCCGUGGACAAUGCUCCUGCUGCAACUGCUGUCGCUACUGCGGGAGCUCACGGCAGAGAGUCCCUGGGGGCUGCCUGUGGUAGCUGAUGGCCCAGCUUCCUUAGCAAAGGUGGUGAUGGCAGAACUGGCUGACCUGAAGUUAGAAAACAAGCCAUGGCCUGGAGGGACACACUCUCUCCACUACCACUACCUGGCCCUAUCAGAGCCAGGCCCAGGCCUUCCUCAGUUUCUGGCUGUAGGCUACGUGGACGACCAGCCUUUCAUCCAUUAUGACAGUCGUGUGGACAGAGCCAAGCCCCAGGCCCCAUGGAUGGCAGCCGUGGACACCCAGUACUGGGAAACAGAGACCCAGAAGCAGAGAGCCUGGGCAAAGGUGCAGCAGGUGGAGACAUGGACCGUGAUGGGCUACCACAACCAGAGCAGUGGCACACACAGCACUCAGCGAACGUUCGGCUGUGAGAUCCGGGAAGACGGCCGUACCAGCAGCUUCUGGCAGUUUGGCUUUGAUGGCCAGGACCACCUGUCACUGGACCUGGAGACUCUGAGCUGGGUGUCAGCCAAGCCUGUGGCUGUGCAGACCAAGCGUUGGUGGGAAACAGAGCGCUGCUAUGCCGAAUACGACAAGGCCUACCUGGAGGGCCUCUGCCUCACUUCCCUGCACAGGUACCUGGAGCUGGGCAGCCAGAGCCUCACCCGGAAAGAGCCGCCCAAAGUGCAGGUGACAAGACACACAGCUGAGGAUGGGAGCAUCACACUGAGAUGCUGGGCCCGGGGCUUCUACCCACGGGACAUCUCAUUGAGCUGGUGGCUGGGGGAGGAGGAGCUGGUUCAAGAGACCGAGUAUGUGGAGACACGCCCCAGUGGAGAUGGUACCUACCAGACAUGGGCGGCCGUGCGGGUGCCAGCCAGGAUGGAGAAUGGGUGCAUUUGCCAUGUGCAGCACUCCAGCUUGAACCAUACACUCACUGUGGCCUGGGAAGCACCCUCUCAUCAGUCGAUAACCAGUGACAAGGUUAUCUUCAUCAUCUUCACCAUCUUCACCAUCACUGUCUUGCUGGUGGUUGGAGUUUGGAUUUUCAUCAAGCAGUACUCUCAAGCCAGGAAUAAGGAAUCUUGCAAACAAGCCCCAGGUGGAGAGGAGCCUCAUAAUUCCCAAAACCCAAUGAGCGUGGAGGCUGCUCAGCUGCUCUGCUGACACAAGUUCACUGUCACAGAUCAAGGAGGUGUUUUAUAGAGGGUUUGGGGGCAUCCAGUGUGCUAGCUGGCUGGCAGUGGUGAUCCAACUGUGAAGGGCCCACCCCACCUCAAAACUGAGCCCUCCUCAGCUCCAUCAGCCUCAUCACAAGCAGUCUGGGCCACUAAGAUAGAUUUGCCAUCUUCCUGAAGUCCUUUUAAAAGUCUAAUUGUCUCCAGUUUGGGGGCGUGGGAAGGAGGGCAGUAAUAAUUCCUCAGAUCGGUUCACACUUGACAAUUUGCACGAUAAUUUCAUGUAAAGUGUAAAUCCCACCUGAGCCUCUCAGGUACUCUGUGAGUUCGGUGAUGGUAUUCUCACCUCCACUUCCCCAACAUGGAAACCACAGCUAUGGGAAGUUAAGGAAGAACCAGAAGAACAGUCAAGGAGUUAUGGGGGCAGCAUGGCCAAAUGCCUACCUCCUUUUAUAAAUGUGUUCUUGUGUGUAUGUAUAUUUUCUUUUGUAAAGAUUGGAGUGUUGGGGGGUGUGAGGAUAUGUGGUUCCUGCAGGGUGAGGGUGGGUGUGUGAGGACAAGGGGGUCCAUGAUGUGUGUGAGGGUGUGUAGGGAGUGACGGUGUAUGGGGCGGGGGGUGUGUGUGGCAGGGGGUGACUUUGUGUGUAUGAGAAGUUCAAGGGACAGGUGCCCAGGGACCUGUUAGCCCAGGGCAGCUGAAGGAUGGAAAACAAUAGUCAGUAUUUUCCAUCCUGUCCUCUUGAAUGGUUUGAAUUUUUACAAUAAGUACAUGUUACUUUUACAAUAAGGGGAAGAGAAGUUUCACUAUGUCCUGUGGAAAUGCUUGUUAAGAAUUCUUGUUAAGGAUGUGUCUGGGAAGGUCCAGCCUCUCCUUCUCUGAAUUUCAGUAUAGCAGAAACCCUACGUCUCCUUUGUAAAUAAGAAUCUCCUGGGGAGCACACAUUUUUGUUUAUUCAGAGAGCAGUUCAAGUCUCACGGCCAGCCAGCAGAUGUGCAAAGGGAGAGGACUCCAGAGCCACAGCAGAGGGACCACUCCACUGGCAUAAAGGACACAAGCUUGGGCCCUUCACAGGGCACCCUCUGCCUCUCUGUAGAGCCCCAAGGCAUGACUAAGCCUCUUGUGGGGAUUUCUGAAACCUUCAUGUCUGCAGCCCUGGGAGGCCCCAAGCUGAAGGAUGUGAAAGAUUUGUGAUACUAGACAGAUUCAGCCUGCCCUGGUGGCCUGAAGAACCUCAGCAGUGAGUUUGCAAUUAUGUGAUUGCACUGAAAAUGUGUCUCUAAUGUCUGUCUGCCUGUCUUAGUGCUGCCAUCAGGAUCCAUGCUGUGCUGGUUCUGAGCACUUUUACAUGUACUAAACUGUGUGAUCCUCAUAACACGCCUGUGUGGGAGAAUUAAUAAUCCUGUGCUACAGGUGAAGACAUUGAAGCCCAAGGUCCUAUGGCUGGUUUGUGCCAGAGCCAGGACAUGAAACCAGGAAGUCUGUGGCUACAGUCUGGGCACUUCACUACUGCACCAAAAACCUCAAUGACAUCUGUGCCAUUCUGUAAAUGGUGAAAAUGUUGAGGCACAAGGUGGGUCUGGCCCACACCAAUGGAAGGCACAAGUGCCUGUGCUGACCUUUGAAGAUGUGCUUAGGAUCUCCAGAGCAAAGGUCAAAACUCCAUCCCUGAGGAGGAUGAGGGCCCAGUGUAUUUGUGGAGAAGCAGAUGGGAGGAGGCUCUGAGUCCUUCCUGUCCAGGAUGUCAGCUCUCUCCAGUGCACAUCUCUCUUUCUCUUCCACCCACACCCCAAGCAUAUAUUGGUUUAAGUCCAGUGCACCUGCAAAACCUGAGACAAAGGAACAUGCACCAGCACAUCAUGGCCAGCAAUGGCUGGUCAGUGAUCUCAACCAAAAGACAGGGGCUCUGGACCCAGAAGGACCAGCCUAGAUGCCCUGCCUGCCUACCUCCCUGGUUCUUUCCUCAGCCACUCCUGCCUGGAGAGAAGCUCAUGAGAGGACAGAAGGCAAACACAGAGGGAGUUCAUCUGAGCCCCAAGUGUUCCCCUGGGUGCCCCCUGAUUACUACCACAGUCUUAGGAGUAGACAGAGGCAGGAGGGCAAGUGAGGAGGGUUCUAAGCACACUUGGAAGCAGUAAAGGGGCCUACAAAUCUGGCAAGGACAGGAAGACAGCUUUGCAAAAAAUCACAGACCCACAGGAAAAGCAACCUUCUCACCCAGCAAGGCAAUACUUCCACUAGCUGCUCCUGAGAACUGCUUCUCUCUCUCAGCCCAGACUGGCCUGGCCUUGGGUCAGAACCAUGGGAUCUCCAUCCACAGGCCAUUCCCUCACUCACAGAGGCCAAGACAUCUUCCCCACGGGAGGAAUGCUACAUCAGACUUCUCUAGUCUUCAGGCUGCACUGAGAUACCCCUCCACUGACACAGAUCUUACCUGCUAGCCCUCUGGACUCUAGUCCCAAACCACGACUUUUUCCAGACCACCAUAUUUAGAGCAGAAUUCAGUGUGGCCUGGAAUUGUGCUUUGUGAUGAUGUGUCGAAUGAAUGAAUGCAUUGAUUAAUAAAUAAUAAAUUAUGAGUAUUCAAUGAA
Molecule: RNA transcript, 7265 nt
Organism: Leopardus geoffroyi (Geoffroy's cat)
Lineage: Eukaryota; Metazoa; Chordata; Mammalia; Carnivora; Felidae
Gene name: H-2 class I histocompatibility antigen, Q10 alpha chain-like
Exons: 11
Source: RefSeq, a predicted model, not a curated record